AUGAAGGUUGUAUCUCUAAUCCUCUCCGUUCUUCUCCUCAUCAAUUCAACACAAUCCUUCUUAUUAAACUUCCAACAGUGCCGUACUGCAGGAAAUCCAUGUUCUCUACCGCUUGCUACAACAACGUUUUCUGGGCAAUGCUGUCAAAAUUUGAACUUAGCAUGUACAGAUCCAAUACCACGAACUAUAACAAGGAGCUACAAUCAAUGGCUGAAUUUAAACAGAACAUGCCAGUAAUACAGAUGAAGAUGAAAGAUAUUGCUGAUGGAUAAUAUUUGAACAAUAAAAUAAUGUAAACUAGAAUAAUAAAAAUGUUCUAUUUUUUAA
Long non-coding RNA from Eurytemora carolleeae, 327 nucleotides. RefSeq lists it as uncharacterized. The record is from RefSeq and is a predicted model, not a curated record. The transcript has 2 exons. NCBI's taxonomy places the organism in Eukaryota, Metazoa, Arthropoda, Copepoda, Calanoida, Temoridae.